This 430-nucleotide ribosomal RNA is filed under the name Fusobacteriota bacterium. RNAcentral's name for it is "Fusobacteria bacterium partial 16S ribosomal RNA". It matches the Rfam family "Bacterial small subunit ribosomal RNA", at positions 355 to 776 of the family's 1533-position model. Lineage: Bacteria; Fusobacteriati; Fusobacteriota. The record is from RNAcentral.
UAGGGAAUCUUCGGCAAUGGACGAAAGUCUGACCGAGCAACGCCGCGUGAGUGAAGAAGGUUUUCGGAUCGUAAAACUCUGUUGUUAGAGAAGAACAAGGAUGAGAGUAGAAUGUUCAUCCCUUGACGGUAUCUAACCAGAAAGCCACGGCUAACUACGUGCCAGCAGCCGCGGUAAUACGUAGGUGGCAAGCGUUGUCCGGAUUUAUUGGGCGUAAAGCGAGCGCAGGCGGUUUCUUAAGUCUGAUGUGAAAGCCCCCGGCUCAACCGGGGAGGGUAAUUGGAAACUGGGAAACUUGAGUGCAGAAGAGGAGAGUGGAAUUCCAUGUGUAGCGGUGAAAUGCGUAGAUAUAUGGAGGAACACCAGUGGCGAAGGCGGCUCUCUGGUCUGUAACUGACGCUGAGGCUCGAAAGCGUGGGGAGCAAACAGG